GACGAACGCUGGCGGCGUGCCUAACACAUGCAAGUUGAGCGACGAACCAGGGCUUGCCCUGGGGCAAAGCAGUGAACGGGUGAGUAACACGUGGGUAACCUACCCCGAUAACCGGGACAACCCGAGGAAACUCGGGCUAAUACCGGAUGUGCUCACUGGACUUCGGUUCAGUGCGUAUAGGAAGCUUCGGCCUCCGUAUCGGGAGGGGCCCGCGGCCCAUUAGUUUGUUGGUGAGGUAACGGCUCACCAAGACCGCGAUGGGUAGCUGGUCUGAGAGGACGAUCAGCCACACUGGGACUGAGACACGGCCCAGACUCCUACGGGAGGCAGCAGUGGGGAAUCUUGCGCAAUGCGCGAAAGCGUGACGCAGCAACGCCGCGUGGGGGAAGAAGGCCUUCGGGUUGUAAACACCUUUCAGGAGGGACGAAGGUUCGGCGGUGAAUAGCCGUCCGGACUGACGGUACCUCCACAAGAAGCCCCGGCUAACUACGUG
Molecule: ribosomal RNA, 493 nt
Filed under: uncultured bacterium
Lineage: Bacteria
Description: partial 16S ribosomal RNA
Rfam family: Bacterial small subunit ribosomal RNA
Source: RNAcentral